RNAcentral lists this ribosomal RNA (580 nucleotides) under uncultured bacterium. Its description in RNAcentral is "partial 16S ribosomal RNA". It matches the Rfam family "Bacterial small subunit ribosomal RNA", at positions 355 to 932 of the family's 1533-position model. The record is from RNAcentral.
UGGGGAAUUUUGGACAAUGGGCGAAAGCCUGAUCCAGCAAUGCCGCGUGUGUGAAGAAGGCCUUCGGGUUGUAAAGCACUUUUGUCCGGAAAGAAAUCCUUGGCUCUAAUACAGUCGGGGGAUGACGGUACCGGAAGAAUAAGCACCGGCUAACUACGUGCCAGCAGCCGCGGUAAUACGUAGGGUGCAAGCGUUAAUCGGAAUUACUGGGCGUAAAGCGUGCGCAGGCGGUUUGCUAAGACCGAUGUGAAAUCCCCGGGCUCAACCUGGGAACUGCAUUGGUGACUGGCAGGCUAGAGUAUGGCAGAGGGGGGUAGAAUUCCACGUGUAGCAGUGAAAUGCGUAGAGAUGUGGAGGAAUACCGAUGGCGAAGGCAGCCCCCUGGGCCAAUACUGACGCUCAUGCACGAAAGCGUGGGGAGCAAACAGGAUUAGAUACCCUGGUAGUCCACGCCCUAAACGAUGUCAACUAGUUGUUGGGGACUCAUUUCCUUAGUAACGUAGCUAACGCGUGAAGUUGACCGCCUGGGGAGUACGGUCGCAAGAUUAAAACUCAAAUGGAAUUGACGGGGUCAUAGCUG